Ictalurus punctatus (channel catfish) is the source of this 1034-nucleotide long non-coding RNA. Lineage: Eukaryota; Metazoa; Chordata; Actinopteri; Siluriformes; Ictaluridae. The record is from Ensembl.
AGAAUGGGGGAAAAAUGUGAUCUCAAUGGCAUGGAUAUUAGGUCCAUGUUAGAUGAAAGUCCUGUUUUUUGACAGGUGCCAAUAAUUACGGUGUUGACUGUUUAUGCACAGCAUUUGAAGUCACAAAUAUACGUAUAUCAGUGAUUAUUUAGACAUCAGUACAUGUUUGUUGGAUUGUCUCUUUAAAAAAAUAAAUAAAUAAAAAUUCUCCUAUUACUCACUUUUAGUAACCUGUGUGACAUCAGUGCAGCAGAACAUUGAACCUCCUCCUGUGACUGUCGCAAUUAACGUCAAGCCAACACCAGCAUCAGUAGAAGCUAAUGGCACCAAAGCAAAAGCUCCGACUGUGUCUGUGGAAGCAGCUGGUAACCAGGUCAGUGUUACAGCUGUAUCAGCUGAACAAAAAAUUCCAGCAGAGUCCAGUACGCCAGCCAAAGACACACCGAAAGCUGAGACUCCCAGCAUGUUCAAUAAGAUGUUCAAGAAGAAGACCGGACCUGUUUCUCCUGCAUCUGAGGCUAAUGUGGCAGCCGAAGUAGUGAUCGUCCCUGAAGUACAGACCGACAGCCAGAAGUCUCCAACACCAGCAUCAGUAGAAGCUAAUGGCACCAAAGCAAAAGCUCCGACUGUGUCUGUGGAAGCAGCUGGUAACCAGGUCAGUGUUACAGCUGUAUCAGCUGAACAAAAAAUUCCAGCAGAGUCCAGUACGCCAGCCAAAGACACACCGAAAGCUGAGACUCCCAGCAUGUUCAAUAAGAUGUUCAAGAAGAAGACCGGACCUGUUUCUCCUGCAUCUGAGGCUAAUGUGGCAGCCGAAGUAGUGAUCGUCCCUGAAGUACAGACCGACAGCCAGAAGUCUGUAAGUACAUCACCUCGUGAGUUUUAUACAUAGUUCACCUCUGUUCCUCCUCAGUGUUACAGUUGAAAGUUAAUGAACUUACAGUAUGUGAGCUCUAUGGGAGAAAUAGCCUCCAAUUUUUCCCUGUUCAUAUCGAAUACAUAUUUUAAAAUUAACUUAUUCUGAUCGCUGACAG